UGGAAAAGGAACUAUUGUGAGAGU
This 24-nucleotide non-coding RNA is filed under the name Cricetulus griseus (Chinese hamster). The record is from RNAcentral. Lineage: Eukaryota; Metazoa; Chordata; Mammalia; Rodentia; Cricetidae.